Molecule: ribosomal RNA, 421 nt
Filed under: uncultured Gammaproteobacteria bacterium
Lineage: Bacteria; Pseudomonadati; Pseudomonadota; Gammaproteobacteria
Description: bacterial SSU rRNA
Rfam family: Bacterial small subunit ribosomal RNA
Source: RNAcentral
GAGUUUGAUCCUGGCUCAGAUUGAACGCUGGCGGCAGGCCUAACACAUGCAAGUCGAACGGUAGCACAGAGAGCUUGCUCUCGGGUGACGAGUGGCGGACGGGUGAGUAAUGUCCGGGAAACUGCCUGAUGGAGGGGGAUAACCACUGGAAACGGUGGCUAAUACCGCAUAAUGUUGCGAGACCAAAGUGGGGGACUUACGGGCCUCACGCCAUCAGAUGUGCCCAGACGGGAUUAGCUGGUAGGUGGGGUAAAGGCUCACCUAGGCGACGAUCCCUAGCUGGUCUGAGAGGAUGACCAGCCACACUGGAACUGAGACACGGUCCAGACUCCUGCGGGAGGCAGCAGUGGGGAAUAUUGCACAAUGGGGGAAACCCUGAUGCAGCCAUGCCGCGUGUAUGAAGAAGGCCUUCGGUUGUAAG